GGCUGCCUAAUACUGCAAGUCGAACGAGAUCUUCGGAUCUAGUGGCGCACGGGUGCGUCCAUUAAAGGAAUCGGCUGGGUUCGGAAGAAUUCCCCCUUUAGGAAGGAAUAGGGGACGACGACGUAAGCAAAGAAACCGCCCAAGGAGGAGCCCGCGUAGGAUUAGGAAGGUGGGAGGUAAAGGCCCACCAAGCCGACGAACCGAGCGGGUCUGAGAGGAAGAGCAGCCACACGGGGACGGAGACACGGCCCAGACGCCGACGGGAGGCAGCAGAGGGAAAGGGACAAGGGGCGAAAGCCGGAGCCAGCAAGGCCGCGGGAGUGAAGAAGGCCGAGGGUUGAAAAGCGCGUACCCGGGAGAAAGACAGACCGGGAUUUUUAGCUCCGGCUAACUCCGUGCCAGCAGCCGCGGUAAUACGGAGGGAGCUAGCGUUGUUCGGAAUUACUGGGCGUAAAGCGCACGUAGGCGGCUAUUCAAGUCAGAGGUGAAAGCCCGGGGCUCAACCCCGGAACUGCCUUUGAAACUAGAUAGCUUGAAUCCAGGAGAGGUGAGUGGAAUUCCGAGUGUAGAGGUGAAAUUCGUAGAUAUUCGGAAGAACACCAGUGGCGAAGGCGGCUCACUGGACUGGUAUUGACGCUGAGGUGCGAAAGCGUGGGGAGCAAACAGGAUUAGAUACCCUGGUAGUCCACGCCGUAAACGAUGAUAACUAGCUGUCAGGGCACAUGGUGUUUUGGUGGCGCAGCUAACGCAUUAAGUUAUCCGCCUGGGGAGUACGGUCGCAAGAUUAAAACUCAAAGGAAUUGACGGGGGCCUGCACAAGCGGGGGAGCAUGUGGUUUAAUUCGAAGCAACGCGCAAAACCCUUACUACGUUUGACAUCCCUAUCGCGGAUCGUGGAAACACUUUUCUUCAUUUCGGCUGGAUAGGUGACAGGGCUGCAUGCCUGUCGUCACCUCGGGCCGGAAAAUGUGGGUUAAUUCCCCCACCAAGCCCACCCUCGCCUUUAUUUGCCGCAUUUGGUGGGUACUCCAAGGACCGCCGGUGAAACCCGAAGAAGGGGGAAGACUCCAGUCUCGUGGGCCUUUCGUUGGGCUACCCCGGCUAAAUGG
Molecule: ribosomal RNA, 1108 nt
Filed under: uncultured Sphingomonas sp.
Lineage: Bacteria; Pseudomonadati; Pseudomonadota; Alphaproteobacteria; Sphingomonadales; Sphingomonadaceae
Description: bacterial SSU rRNA
Rfam family: Bacterial small subunit ribosomal RNA
Source: RNAcentral